Molecule: ribosomal RNA, 484 nt
Filed under: uncultured bacterium
Lineage: Bacteria
Description: partial 16S ribosomal RNA
Rfam family: Bacterial small subunit ribosomal RNA
Source: RNAcentral
AUUGAACGCUGGCGGCAGGCCUAACACAUGCAAGUCGAGCGGAUGAAGGGAGCUUGCUCCUGGCUUCAGCGGCGGACGGGUGAGUAAUGCCUAGGAAUCUGCCUGGCAGUGGGGGAUAACGUCCGGAAACGGGCGCUAAUACCGCAUACGUCCUGAGGGAGAAAGUGGGGGAUCUUCGGACCUCACGCUAUCAGAUGAGCCUAGGUCGGAUUAGCUAGUUGGUGGGGUAAAGGCCUACCAAGGCGACGAUCCGUAACUGGUCUGAGAGGAUGAUCAGUCACACUGGAACUGAGACACGGUCCAGACUCCUACGGGAGGCAGCAGUGGGGAAUAUUGGACAAUGGGCGAAAGCCUGAUCCAGCCAUGCCGCGUGUGUGAAGAAGGUCUUCGGAUUGUAAAGCUCUGUAAGUUGGGAGGAAGGGCAGUAAGUUAAUACCUUGCUGUUUUGACGUUACCAACAGAAUAAGCACCGGCUAACUUCGUG